GUGGGGAAUUUUGGACAAUGGGCGAAAGCCUGAUCCAGCCAUGCCGCGUGCAGGAUGAAGGCCUUCGGGUUGUAAACUGCUUUUGUACGGAACGAAAAGACUCUGGUUAAUACCUGGGGUCCAUGACGGUACCGUAAGAAUAAGCACCGGCUAACUACGUGCCAGCAGCCGCGGUAAUACGUAGGGUGCAAGCGUUAAUCGGAAUUACUGGGCGUAAAGCGUGCGCAGGCGGUUUUGUAAGACAGAGGUGAAAUCCCCGGGCUCAACCUGGGAACUGCCUUUGUGACUGCAAGGCUAGAGUACGGCAGAGGGGGAUGGAAUUCCGCGUGUAGCAGUGAAAUGCGUAGAUAUGCGGAGGAACACCGAUGGCGAAGGCAAUCCCCUGGGCCUGUACUGACGCUCAUGCACGAAAGCGUGGGGAGCAAACAGGAUUAGAAACCCGUGUAGUCC
This 450-nucleotide ribosomal RNA is filed under the name uncultured bacterium. RNAcentral's name for it is "partial 16S ribosomal RNA". It matches the Rfam family "Bacterial small subunit ribosomal RNA", at positions 354 to 796 of the family's 1533-position model. The record is from RNAcentral.